Molecule: unclassified non-coding RNA, 90 nt
Filed under: Pseudomonas lini
Lineage: Bacteria; Pseudomonadati; Pseudomonadota; Gammaproteobacteria; Pseudomonadales; Pseudomonadaceae
Source: RNAcentral
UGUGGGAGCGGGCUUGCCCGCGAUGAGGCCGGCACAUUCAAUGUUGAUGUUGACUGACACGCCGCCAUCGCGGGCAAGCCCGCUCCCACA